This 292-nucleotide ribosomal RNA is filed under the name uncultured bacterium. RNAcentral's name for it is "partial 16S ribosomal RNA". The record is from RNAcentral.
GGACUACUGGGGUUUCUAAUCCUGUUUGCUCCCCACGCUUUCGCGUCUCAGCGUCAGUCACCGUCCAGAAGGCCGCCUUCGCCGCCGGUAUUCCUCCCGAUAUCUACGGAUUUCACCCCUACACCGGGAAUUCUGCCUUCCUCUCCGGGACUCCAGCAAGGCAGUUUCAGCUGCAAUUCCGGGGUUGGGCCCCGGGCUUUCACAACCGACUUGCCAAGCCGCCUACACGCGCUUUACGCCCAAUGAUUCCGAACAACGCUUGCACCCUCCGUAUUACCGCGGCGGCUGGCAC